GACUAACGCUGGCGGCGUGCCUAACACAUGCAAGUCGAACGAGUUGUUUAUAGUAGCAAUAUUGUGAACAGCAAGUGGCGAACGGGUGAGUAACACGUAGAUAAUCUGCCUUUCAGACGGGGACAACUCAGGGAAACUUGUGCUAAUACCCGAUGAGACUACGGGAGGGGACCUUCGUAGCCAAAGGUGGGGGCAACCUCACGCUGAAAGAUGAGUCUGCGUCCUAUCAGCUAGUUGGUGGGGUAAAAGCCUACCAAGGCGAAGACGGGUAGCCGGCCUGAGAGGGUGAACGGCCACACUGGGACUGAGACACGGCCCAGACUCCUACGGGAGGCAGCAGUGAGGAAUUUUCCGCAAUGGGCGCAAGCCUGACGGAGCGACGCCGCGUGAGGGAUGACGGCCUUCGGGUUGUAAACCUCUUUUAUUAGGGAAAAAGGCAAUCGUGCUAAUACCACGGUUGUUUGAUGUUACCUGUUGAAUAAGCCCCGGCUAACUACGUG
RNAcentral lists this ribosomal RNA (500 nucleotides) under uncultured bacterium. RNAcentral's name for it is "bacterial SSU rRNA". It matches the Rfam family "Bacterial small subunit ribosomal RNA", at positions 28 to 507 of the family's 1533-position model. The record is from RNAcentral.